UAUUUAGAAGUAGCAUUGUUGGGCUAGUGACCAUUCCAUGUGUUACAGAUGUAAAAAAUAUUCACAGUUUUUAUUUUCCUGGAUGAAAAGGAGCGAUUGAGAAACUGCAAGUCGCUUCUGGUGUGAGAGAAUUGGCCAUCUGCAAGAACACAGCCCAGCGGACAUCCGGAUGUUUUUUGAUGUUUUUACCAGCCUUGUGGGAGGCUUCUUUCAUGUCCCCGCGUGAAGCUGAAGCUGACAGAGGGAGCUCAUCUGCACUCUCCCCAGGUUGGAUUCGAACUGGCAACCUUCAGGUCAGCAACCCAGCCUUCAAGUCAUCAGUGCUGUUCACACAAAGGUUUAACCCACUGCACCACCGGAGGCUUCUACAGGUUUAAGUCAAUGGACUGGCAGUUCAACAGGCUCAGAAAUGAUGUGAGAUGAUUCAUCCAUUGACUGCUUUCCCAAUGUAGUGUGGAUGAAACAGGAAAGGAAUCAAAAGCUUUCCAACUGGCAAUUCUGUUCGUGAAUUUCUACUGAGAAAUACAUUUUGCAAAAAUUGUUUGGAUUGUUUGCACAUCCUUAUCCCUGCAAAACAUUCUGCAAUAAAGGUCAAACUAAAUACUGUA
Long non-coding RNA from Anolis carolinensis (green anole), 608 nucleotides. RefSeq lists it as uncharacterized. The record is from RefSeq and is a predicted model, not a curated record. The transcript has 3 exons. NCBI's taxonomy places the organism in Eukaryota, Metazoa, Chordata, Lepidosauria, Squamata, Anolidae.